CACGAGGCCAAGAGAUGGAGACCAUCCUGGCCAACAUGAGUUGAAUGGAACUGUUAUAAACAAUAGGCCACUAAAUAACUGGUUGGUCACCUGAAGGAAGAAUACCAAUAAGAGGAUUCCUGAUAAUCACCAUUCUACUCUCUGCUUCUGCGAGUUCAGCUUUCAAAAAUUCCACCUACAGGUCAUGGAGAACUGAAAGCUCAUGGUGUGUUCAGAGAACAGCCAGCAGAGGAGAGGAGGAAAGAAGAGAAGGAAGGAAGAAGAUCAAGCUGAAAUGGUACUACAGGGACUCUUAAUGUUCCAUUAAGCCAAAGAGUGUGGGACAGGAGAGUAAUUCAAUUCAGUAUGUAUUUUGAAUUGAUGACUGAUGAUAGUGACUAAGGAGAAUUAGAAAGUAGAGGCAGUUAGACUAGUUCAGUGGCUGUGGAAAUAGUCUAGGUGAGAGAUGAGGUCACAUUUCAAAGGCCUUGAAGAAAUGGACACCUUUGGCAGAGAUACAAUGUUGUCUCCCAAUGUCUGUUUGUUGCUUCUUGUUUUACUUAUAACCUCCUGACCUUUCACUAGGUUCAUCUCCAUUAAGAAGAAAGAUUAAUCCCUGCCUCCCUUGCAGUUAGAUGGGGUCAUGUGUCUAAGGUCUGGUUAGCAGAUAUAAAUGGCAGCAGUAUGUGCAACUUCUGUGGAAUGACCCUAAAGAAAGAGAUUGACUUUUCUUUAUCUUUUCUCCUUUCUGAUG
This is a long non-coding RNA of Cebus imitator (Panamanian white-faced capuchin), 733 nucleotides long. RefSeq lists it as uncharacterized. The record is from RefSeq and is a predicted model, not a curated record. NCBI's taxonomy places the organism in Eukaryota, Metazoa, Chordata, Mammalia, Primates, Cebidae. The transcript is spliced from 4 exons.